UACUGGCAGGAUCAACCAGGUGACAGUGAAGAACAAGUAUCCUUUUCCCAGAUCGACAAGCUCUUCUACUAGCUUUAGGGUGCUCAGUACUUUUUGAAGGUGGACCUGAGGUAAGGAUAUCACCAGCUGCGAGUCAAAGACUAGAAUGUGCAGAAGACAGUGCUCCAUACCCGCUAUGGACACUACAAAUUCCUUGUGAUGCCGUUCGGGUUGACGAAUGCGCCAACAAUGUUCAUGGCCUUGAUGAACAAGAUCUUUGCUCAGCACCUCGACAGCUUCACAGUUGUGUUCAUCGACAAUGUGUUAGUCUACUUGAAGUCCAGAGAGGAGCAUGAGCAGCAAUUAAGGACGUCUCUAUAGUUGUUGCGCGAUAACCAGUUGUAUGCGAAGCUCAGCA
RNAcentral lists this unclassified non-coding RNA (397 nucleotides) under Actinodaphne maingayi. RNAcentral's name for it is "partial miscellaneous RNA". The record is from RNAcentral. Lineage: Eukaryota; Viridiplantae; Streptophyta; Magnoliopsida; Laurales; Lauraceae.